Molecule: long non-coding RNA, 336 nt
Organism: Larimichthys crocea (large yellow croaker)
Lineage: Eukaryota; Metazoa; Chordata; Actinopteri; Sciaenidae
Exons: 3
Source: RefSeq, a predicted model, not a curated record
AUUUCCUGACCACCAACAAGUAAAAACUACAGAUCUUCCACCACCAACAGGUAAAAACUACAAACCCCAACCACCAACAGGUAAAAACUACAAACCCCCACCACCAACAAGUAAAAACUACAGAACCCCCACCACCAACAAGUAAAAACUACAGAUCCCCCACCACCAACAGUUAAAAACUACAGAUCCCCCUCACCAAACAGGUAAAAACUACAGAUCCCCCACCACCAACAGGUAAAAACUACACCAACAGGUAAAAACUACAAGUCCCCCACCACCAACAGGUAAAAACUACAGAUGCCCUCACCACCAACAAGUAAAAACUACAGAUCCCCC